ACAUACGACCACAGCCGUUAGUAGAACUCACGAUCCCGUCCGAUCCCGUACGAUAACCUAGCGAGCGCUGGAUUAGUAGUUGGGUCGGUGACGACCAGCGAAUACCCGGUGUUGUAUGUU
Molecule: ribosomal RNA, 120 nt
Organism: Metarhizium acridum CQMa 102
Lineage: Eukaryota; Fungi; Ascomycota; Sordariomycetes; Hypocreales; Clavicipitaceae
Source: Rfam